Unclassified non-coding RNA from Pongo abelii (Sumatran orangutan), 148 nucleotides. It matches the Rfam family "Metazoan signal recognition particle RNA". Rfam says of the family: The signal recognition particle (SRP) is a universally conserved ribonucleoprotein. It is involved in the co-translational targeting of proteins to membranes. The eukaryotic SRP consists of a 300-nucleotide 7S RNA and six proteins: SRPs 72, 68, 54, 19, 14, and 9. The record is from Ensembl. Lineage: Eukaryota; Metazoa; Chordata; Mammalia; Primates; Hominidae.
GCCGGGUGUGGUAGCGGGCACCUGUAAUCCCAGCUACUUGGGAGGCUGAGGCAGGAGAAUCUCUUGAACCUGGGAGGCAGAGGUUGCAGUGAGCCAUGAUCAUGCCACUGCACUCCAGCCUGGGUGACAGAGCGAGACUCUGUCUCAA